AGCGAACAUUGGCGGUAGGCUUAACACAUGCAAGUCGAGCGAGGCGUAAUAGUCGAGCGGCGAACGGGUGAGUAACACAUGGGAAUCUACCCUGAAGUGGGGGAUAACGUUCAGAAAUGAACGCUAAUACCGCAUAAUCCACAUUGGGAAAGCGUUGCAGCGCUUUAGGAUGAGCCCAUGGCUGAUUAGCUAGUUGGUGAGGUAAUGGCUCACCAAGGCGACGAUCAGUAGCUGGUCUGAGAGGAUGAUCAGCCACACUGGAACUGAGACACGGUCCAGACUCCUACGGGAGGCAGCAGUGGGGAAUCUUGCGCAAUGGGGGCAACCCUGACGCAGCCAUACCGCGUGAGUGAUGAAGGUCUUCGGAUUGUAAAGCUCUUUCGGCGGGGACGACGAUGACGGUACCCGCAAAAGAAGUCACGGCUAACUUCGUGCCAGCCGCCGCUGUAA
RNAcentral lists this ribosomal RNA (450 nucleotides) under uncultured bacterium. Its description in RNAcentral is "partial 16S ribosomal RNA". It matches the Rfam family "Bacterial small subunit ribosomal RNA", at positions 29 to 523 of the family's 1533-position model. The record is from RNAcentral.